This 460-nucleotide ribosomal RNA is filed under the name uncultured bacterium. Its description in RNAcentral is "partial 16S ribosomal RNA". It matches the Rfam family "Bacterial small subunit ribosomal RNA", at positions 338 to 795 of the family's 1533-position model. The record is from RNAcentral.
CCUACGGGUGGCUGCAGUGAGGAAUAUUGGUCAAUGGACGCAAGUCUGAACCAGCCAUGCCGCGUGCAGGAUGACGGCUCUAUGAGUUGUAAACCGCUUUUGUACGAGGGUAAACCCCGAUACUUGUACCGGGAUGAAAGUAUCGUAAGAAUAAGGAUCGGCUAACUCCGUGCCAGCAGCCGCGGUAAUACGGAGGAUCCGAGCGUUAUCCGGAUUUAUUGGGUUUAAGGGGUGCGUAGGCGGUUUGAUAAGUUAGAGGUGAAAUGCCGGGGCUCAACCCCGAAACUGCCUCUAAGACUGGUGGGCUAGAGAGUAGGUGCGGUAGGCGGAAUGUGUGGUGUAGCGGUGAAAUGCUUAGAGAUCAUACAGAACACCGAUUGCGAAGGCAGCGUACCAAACUAUAUCUGACGUUGAGGCACGAAAGCGUGGGUAGCAAACAGGAUUAGAUACCCGGGUAGUC